AGCAGUCGCCGCGGUAAUACAGAGGGUGCGAGCGUUAAUCGGAUUUACUGGGCGUAAAGCGUGCGUAGGCGGCUUCUUAAGUCGGAUGUGAAAUCCCUGAGCUUAACUUAGGAAUUGCAUUCGAUACUGGGAAGCUAGAGUAUGGGAGAGGAUGGUAGAAUUCCAGGUGUAGCGGUGAAAUGCGUAGAGAUCUGGAGGAAUACCGAUUGCGAAGGCAGCCAUCUGGCCUAAUACUGACGCUGAGGUACGAAAGCAUGGGGAGCAAACAGGAUUAGAUACCCCUGUAGUCCCUGUCUCUUAUAC
Molecule: ribosomal RNA, 303 nt
Filed under: uncultured bacterium
Lineage: Bacteria
Description: partial 16S ribosomal RNA
Rfam family: Bacterial small subunit ribosomal RNA
Source: RNAcentral